AACUCUGACUAGCCCUAGUUGCCUUUCUUUUCUUUUUCCAGUUUUCUUCUGAGCUCAUGUUCCCCCUCCUGAUAUCUUACCAUCCUUUCCCUGAGCUCACUUUAUCCUUUUCCUUCUUAGAGGCAACCAUUUCAUUAAGUUUUUAAGUGCCUGGCAAUUGCUUGGUUACGACUGGUGUCUGCUCCGUGACAGCCUCUUCUUGGUGAGUAUUCCACAUCUGCCACUGGUUUUUCCUAUCCGUUUCCUACUUUUGCAGAGAUCCUGUAUGUCUUCCUUUUUGAUGACUCAUCUUUGAACAAGUGGAGUUUUUCCUGGACCAGCUCUUUGCUGGUAUCAUGUGGGAAGAGUUGGGGCUGUGUUCCAAGUCAGCUGGAAUUUUCCUUAUAACCCAGGAUUUUAGAUGUGAGCUUGAUCAGCCUUUACUUCUCUGCUUAAGCAGGUCUGGGCAUGUUUGGCAACCUGGCCUGCAUGACGGAGAUUUGCAUAAUUUGGUGUUCAUCUGUUUAUUCAGUUUUUGCCUGAAUGAUGAAGGAGGAAGUUUAUGUCUUGCUCCCUGGGGACAGGCAGAGGCAGUGUGUGCACUUCCAUCUGACAAGGACCAGAUCUGAACAGUCUGGAGAGAGGAGCUGUGGUGACAGCAGAAAGAUCUCUGCUUCAGGGGUCAGGUGUCCAGAAGAAAUGCUGAUGCAGUGUCAUGCUUGUCUCUGCCCUCCUUAGAGAACGCCUGAACAGUUCCAUUGACUCAAAGUGAAGAUCAAAAGAACCAAAUGACAGCAAUAGCUAAGUGUAAUCAUCAGUAACCCUGUGUUCUAUCCACGGGUAAAGAACAAUCAUCCUCUUCAUUAUGGGUUUCAAUUUAAAAUAUAAUACAUUUUUAGAAAUGUCUAUUUCCUUUUAUAAUCUCUUUAUAUAAUCUAGGUUAUUUUGACUCUUAGAUCUUCAUUUAACUACUGAAAAGAUUUGAUCUCAAAUCAAUGAUCUAACCACCUCUGCCCGCCUCCCUCCCCAUACACCCCCCAGCAUGAAUUCUGGGAACUCAGGUAAAAUGCUUUCUGGAAACCUGCCUGUAUUAGUCUGUUGUCACACUGCUAAUAAACACAUACCCGAAACUGAGUAAUUUGUAAA
This is a non-coding RNA of Macaca mulatta (Rhesus monkey), 1125 nucleotides long. Lineage: Eukaryota; Metazoa; Chordata; Mammalia; Primates; Cercopithecidae. The record is from RefSeq and is a predicted model, not a curated record.